This 72-nucleotide transfer RNA is filed under the name Patescibacteria group bacterium. RNAcentral's name for it is "tRNA-Arg". It matches the Rfam family "tRNA". Rfam says of the family: Transfer RNA (tRNA) molecules are approximately 80 nucleotides in length. Their secondary structure includes four short double-helical elements and three loops (D, anti-codon, and T loops). RNAcentral also lists the same sequence under 1 other name. The record is from RNAcentral.
GCUCUUGUCGUUCAACGGAUAGGACACUCCCCUGCGAAGGGAGAAAUGCAGGUUCGAUUCCUGCCGAGAGCA